UCUUUUGCUAUUAUUUUGUGCUACUUUGGGGUUAGCCUCUUGUCCAAACUACGAGUUACUUAAAAUGCGGCGGUAAGCUCUCUGUUUCUGUUCUUCCGGCCAUUUUUAUGGUUGCACAGGGAGGUUUCUGUCUGGACUCCUGCCUCAGGCUUUACCUUGUGGGAGCUUCAGGUCUUUCAUCAGCACCGUAAUUGUGAGGUCACAGCAAGGUGACCCUGUGCCCCCCCCCCCGGCUUAGGCGUUCCGAAGUAACUCGCAACCCUCAAAGCCCCAGGCUGCUGCCACGGAUCCAUUUUUCCUCGUAAAAGUGGCUGUAAAAUAGUGUAGUGUAGCAUUUUGCCACACGUAUGUGUUAUGUUCCUCAAUUUCAACAAAAUUACAAACGUACAAAUCGCGUGUGUGUGUGUGUGUGUGUGUGUUUGUGUCCAUUGUAAAGGAGAGUAAGUUCUCACUGAUGGUCUGAGGGCAUUUUACAUACGAAUACGCAUGUGCGUGUCAGUGUCGUUAUUUCAAAAGAAAGUCAGCAGGACCCCUUCUGUGGGCAAAAGCCAAAAUCUAGCGGCGUCACAUCCUGUCCAUUUCCUUGGAAUCGCCAGGGCUGGAUGAGGCUCGGUGGGGAUCAGAGGCCAUGGAGUCCCCAAGCCCACCCUUACGUGUGUGUGAGAGCGCGGGGCCGGGGUGGCAGCUGGCCUGGUGACGGCCAGCAAGAGAGGCUGCCGGCCACAGACACCGUGACCGCCCCAGCACUCACUCCCGGCUGCCACGGCGGCGUGGCGACCUUGCCAGUGCUCCGCGCACGAGAGGAGGCUCGGUUCUGCUGUUUUGGUCACUUGCCUGGAAGCUUCUGCCCAGAACAUUUGUGUCCGAGGCCCUUUCAUCUCCCAGGCAUCCUGUACAAUUACCAUGCGGAGGGUCUGGAAUCCGUCCUGCUGCAGCUGGGUCACAGGACAAGGCAGACUGGGCCAGCCUGCUAAAAUAAAGACGUGAUUAUCUCC
This is a long non-coding RNA of Neofelis nebulosa (Clouded leopard), 995 nucleotides long. RefSeq lists it as uncharacterized. The transcript is spliced from 2 exons. NCBI's taxonomy places the organism in Eukaryota, Metazoa, Chordata, Mammalia, Carnivora, Felidae. The record is from RefSeq and is a predicted model, not a curated record.